AUUGAACGCUGGCGGCAUGCCUUACACAUGCAAGUCGAACGGCAGCGGACCUUCGGGUGCCGGCGAGUGGCGAACGGGUGAGUAAUAUAUCGGAACGUACCUUUCAGUGGGGGAGUAACGUAGCGAAAGUUACGCUAAUACCGCAUAUUCUGUGAGCAGGAAAGCAGGGGAUCGCAAGACCUUGCGCUGAUUGAGCGGCCGAUAUCAGAUUAGCUAGUUGGUGAGGUAAAGGCUCACCAAGGCGACGAUCUGUAGCGGGUCUGAGAGGAUGAUCCGCCACACUGGAACUGAGACACGGUCCAGACUCCUACGGGAGGCAGCAGUGGGGGAAUUUUGGUACAAUGGGCGGCAAGACCUGAUCCACGCCACUGCCGCCGU
RNAcentral lists this ribosomal RNA (378 nucleotides) under uncultured bacterium. RNAcentral describes it as "bacterial SSU rRNA". It matches the Rfam family "Bacterial small subunit ribosomal RNA", at positions 30 to 403 of the family's 1533-position model. The record is from RNAcentral.